AGGUGGAACAGAAAAGUAAAACGAUAGAAAAACCUCCGCCGCAGACUGGUGAAAAACUGCAGCGAAGGUUUUUGAUGUUUUUAGGGUGUUGAGAAAAUUUAGCACUCCUCAGCGAUAUCAUAAAUCAGGCGUUCGGUCUGAUCCCAGCCAAGGCACGGGUCAGUGAUGGAUUUACCAUAGACAUGAUUUCCGCAUCCGAUUUUCUGAUUGCCAGGCUCCAGAUAGCUUUCGAUCAUAACACCUUUUACGAGACUUUCGAUAUCCUUGUUGCAUCGUCUUGUGUGCAGAACGUCUUUGACGAUACGGAUCUGCUGCUCGUAUUUCUUUCCGGAGUUGGAAUGGUUG
RNAcentral lists this unclassified non-coding RNA (345 nucleotides) under fungal sp. Its description in RNAcentral is "partial contains small subunit ribosomal RNA and internal#transcribed spacer 1". Lineage: Eukaryota; Fungi. The record is from RNAcentral.